RNAcentral lists this ribosomal RNA (411 nucleotides) under Alcaligenes faecalis. RNAcentral's name for it is "bacterial SSU rRNA". It matches the Rfam family "Bacterial small subunit ribosomal RNA", at positions 916 to 1324 of the family's 1533-position model. The record is from RNAcentral. Lineage: Bacteria; Pseudomonadati; Pseudomonadota; Betaproteobacteria; Burkholderiales; Alcaligenaceae.
GACGCGGACCCCGCACAAGCUGUUGGAUGAUGUAGUAUUAAUUCGAUGCAACGCGAAAAACCUUACCUACCCUUGACAUGUCUGGAAUGCCGAAGAGAUUUGGCAGUGCUCGCAAGAGAACCGGAACACAGGUGCUGCAUGGCUGUCGUCAGCUCGUGUCGUGAGAUGUUGGGUUAAGUCCCGCAACGAGCGCAACCCUUGUCAUUAGUUGCUACGCAAGAGCACUCUAAUGAGACUGCCGGUGACAAACCGGAGGAAGGUGGGGAUGACGUCAAGUCCUCAUGGCCCUUAUGGGUAGGGCUUCACACGUCAUACAAUGGUCGGGACAGAGGGUCGCCAACCCGCGAGGGGGAGCCAAUCUCAGAUAGCCGAUCGUAGUCCGGAUCGCAGUCUGCAACUCGACUGCGUGAA